UACGUAGGGUGCAAGCGUUGUCCGGAAUUAUUGGGCGUAAAGAGCUCGUAGGCGGUGUGUCGCGUCGGCCGUGAAAACCUGCAGCUUAACUGUGGGCUUGCGGUCGAUACGGGCAUCACUGGAGUUCGGCAGGGGAGACUGGAAUUCCGGGUGUAGCGGUGGAAUGCGUAGAGAUCCGGAAGAACACCGGUGGCGAAGGCGGUCUGCUGGGGUAAUGCUGACACUGAUGCGCGACAGCGUGGGGAGCAAACAGG
Molecule: ribosomal RNA, 254 nt
Filed under: uncultured bacterium
Lineage: Bacteria
Description: partial 16S ribosomal RNA
Rfam family: Bacterial small subunit ribosomal RNA
Source: RNAcentral